CUGAGCUUUGGGAGAAGCUGACUCCAGGAAUCUUCCUCCAGAGGUGUGUGCUUUGUGCCCUGGUGCGGCUGCAAGUGGGUCACUCGCUGUUCUGUAAUGGGACGUGACCCUAGCAGCCUGACAUUCUGUGGCUGGAUCAGGCAUUGGCAAAGUCAUUAUUCAUCAUGGAUCUAGUCAAACAUCUCACGACCACAUCCAUAGCACGUACUUUGACCAAAAAGUCUCUAUAAAAAACAAUCCCAGAAAGAAAAUGUAAAGAUAAAAUGCUCUGAUAGCACAGGUCUUGGGCUAAAGCCAAACCAACAUCACCAAGAAGAAGAAUUCCUUCUGCUACUGCUGUACUGUACAAGCAAAGAAAGUUUACAAUGGUAAUCACACCCAAUUUUUUUUC
This 391-nucleotide long non-coding RNA is filed under the name Chrysolophus pictus (golden pheasant). RNAcentral's name for it is "lncRNA (ENSCPIG00010007849.1)". The record is from RNAcentral. Lineage: Eukaryota; Metazoa; Chordata; Aves; Galliformes; Phasianidae.